UGUUUAUAAUGUCAAUAAAAACAAACGCCGUAGUAACUUUGAUAGUUAUCGAGUCAGUUGUCUUUUACAUUCUGUCGAAUAAACAUUGAAAUUUUGUUUGGAGUAGAAUAUUUAUCGUACGAGGAUUAAAAUAUACUCAAUCAAUAAAGGAAUCGCAAAGUGGUGUAUCAUUAAACAAAGAAAAAGUAAUCGCGAACUAAAAGCAUUGUUUGUUCGUUCGCGUUUCGUUGAAUUUAAAAAGCAAGUGUAUUUGAAUCGAUUGCCUGUAAGAUGUAAUCAUUAAAAUCAGUGUUCGCAAUGUUUUUUUUUUCUUUUUUAAUCGUACAGAUUGUAUUAAAUAAAAGAUAAAUUAGUAAAGUCUCGCGAAUUAAAUUCAGUGACCGUCCGUUAAUAAAUAACUACCGCGUAUUAGAAUCAAUGAAUCAGAGAAGAGGAUCUCAACCAACUUCGAUGUCGACCUAUCUCAUUUUCAACUAUCUACGAAUCCAACUACCUUCAAUUUCGACCUAAAUCGCAGACGAGUGUUUUGGAGCCAUCGCGGAACUUCUUAAGUAGCUGAAUCAUCGAGGGAUGGAUUUGUCUGCAAUUGAGUGAUUAAGCAACAAGGAUUUGAUAUAUCGACGCGGAUAUCCGAUAUUUCGUUUAGGGGCUCGCAAUUUGUAAUCGUGAGAUUACAUAUUUAGACAGAAGCUUACGAAACCUUUCCGCAUUAUAUAAAGAGAGGAAAUGUCUCCUUUUUUUUGUACGAAUAGAAUAAAAAGAACAUCCGUGUCCGCGUUAGUGGACACCAGAUGUGGAUAUUCAUGGAUCCGAUUAAAUGGACUACCGUGGACUUCAUUUUAUUGUUCGAAAUUCGGUCCUGUUAUUCAUAAGCGAGGACUGAUCCUCUUACAGAUAGCGUUGGUAGCUUAAAUUCUCUCUAAAUGGCACUGUCAUUUCGAUACCGCGAAUUUUAGAGUACAAUCAUUGUCAACCUCAUCGUAGGUCUUCAAAUGCAGCAACCUCCACGUGGUGAGAUUUGGAUCUUUACUAUUUACAAUAUAUCGAAAUGUAAUUCGAAAGCAAAUACUAUCAGGCGAAUGGUUAUACAUUUUCGAUCUAAUUCUAACUAAACAUCAUUAAAGUAUUAAUACUGUACGUUACUAAUAAUAUUUCAACAGAUAAAUAUAUUAGAUAUGGCAGAAUUCUAAAAUAAUUUCUUAGAGAAACUCAUUGAAAAAUUCGAAUUAUACCUUACUUGUUCUCACUUAUACUUAUCAGAUUAAAUACUAUAUUUUCUAUUCUAUUUACGUACGUCAUUAUAUAUGCAUUAAAUAUUUUCUAUCUAUCGUUGUUAUUAUUAUCUCUUUUAUAUGA
Molecule: long non-coding RNA, 1356 nt
Organism: Vespa mandarinia (Asian giant hornet)
Lineage: Eukaryota; Metazoa; Arthropoda; Insecta; Hymenoptera; Vespidae
Source: RefSeq, a predicted model, not a curated record